GAUGAACGCUGGCGGCGUGCCUAAUACAUGCAAGUCGAGCGAACGGACGAGAAGCUUGCUUCUCUGAUGUUAGCGGCGGACGGGUGAGUAACACGUGGAUAACCUACCUAUAAGACUGGGAUAACUUCGGGAAACCGUAGCUAAUACCGGAUAAUAUUUUGAACCGCAUGGUUCAAAAGUGAAAGACGGUCUUUCUGUCACUUAUAGAUGGAUACGCGCUGCAUUAGCUAGUUGGUAAGGUAACGGCUUACCAAGGCAACGAUGCAUAGCCGACCUGAGAGGGUGAUCGGCCACACUGGAACGGAGACACGGUCCAGACUCCUACGGGAGGCAGCAGUAGGGAAUCGUACGCAAAGGGGGAAAGCCUGACGGAGUAACGCCGAGUGAGAGAUGAAGGUGUUCGGAUCGUAAAACUCGGUUAUUAGUGAAGAACAUAUGUGUAAGUAACUGUGCACAUCUUGACGGUACCUAAUCAGAAAGCCACGGCUAACUACGUG
RNAcentral lists this ribosomal RNA (497 nucleotides) under uncultured bacterium. RNAcentral describes it as "partial 16S ribosomal RNA". It matches the Rfam family "Bacterial small subunit ribosomal RNA", at positions 28 to 507 of the family's 1533-position model. The record is from RNAcentral.